GACGAACGCUGGCGGCGUGCUUAACACAUGCAAGUCGAACGGAAAGGCCCUGCUUUUGUGGGGUGCUCGAGUGGCGAACGGGUGAGUAACACGUGAGUAACCUGCCCUUGACUUUGGGAUAACUUCAGGAAACUGGGGCUAAUACCGGAUAGGAGCUCCUGCUGCAUGGUGGGGGUUGGAAAGUUUCGGCGGUUGGGGAUGGACUCGCGGCUUAUCAGCUUGUUGGUGGGGUAGUGGCUUACCAAGGCUUUGACGGGUAGCCGGCCUGAGAGGGUGACCGGCCACAUUGGGACUGAGGUACGGCCCAGACUCAUACGGGAGGCAGCAGUGGGGAAUAUUGCACAAUGGGCGGAAGCCUGAUGCAGCAACGCCGCGUGCGGGAUGACGGCCUUCGGGUUGUAAACCGCUUUCGCCUGUGACGAAGCGUGAGUGACGGUAAUGGGUAAAGAAGCACCGGCUAACUACGUG
Molecule: ribosomal RNA, 468 nt
Filed under: uncultured bacterium
Lineage: Bacteria
Description: partial 16S ribosomal RNA
Rfam family: Bacterial small subunit ribosomal RNA
Source: RNAcentral